UGGGGUGUAGCUCAGUGGUAGAGUGCUUGCCUAGCAUAUGCAAGGCUCUGGGUUCAAUCCCCAGUAUUGCAG
RNAcentral lists this transfer RNA (72 nucleotides) under Urocitellus parryii (Arctic ground squirrel). RNAcentral's name for it is "Spermophilus parryii (Arctic ground squirrel) tRNA". It matches the Rfam family "tRNA". From Rfam's summary of the family: Transfer RNA (tRNA) molecules are approximately 80 nucleotides in length. Their secondary structure includes four short double-helical elements and three loops (D, anti-codon, and T loops). The record is from Rfam by way of RNAcentral. RNAcentral also lists the same sequence under 2 other names. Lineage: Eukaryota; Metazoa; Chordata; Mammalia; Rodentia; Sciuridae.